Molecule: ribosomal RNA, 459 nt
Filed under: uncultured bacterium
Lineage: Bacteria
Description: partial 16S ribosomal RNA
Rfam family: Bacterial small subunit ribosomal RNA
Source: RNAcentral
CCUACGGGAGGCAGCAGUGAGGAAUAUUGGUCAAUGGUCGGGAGACUGAACCAGCCAAGCCGCGUGAGGGAGGAAGGUACAGCGUAUCGUAAACCUCUUUUGUCAGGGAACAAAGGCGGGGACGUGUCCCCGGAUGAGUGUACCUGAAGAAAAAGCAUCGGCUAACUCCGUGCCAGCAGCCGCGGUAAUACGGAGGAUGCGAGCGUUAUCCGGAUUUAUUGGGUUUAAAGGGUGCGCAGUCGGUCUGUUAAGUCAGCGGUCAAAGCCCGGGGCUCAACCCCGACCCGCCGUUGAUACUGGCAGUCUUGAGUAGGAGAGAAGUAGGCGGAAUGCGCGGUGUAGCGGUGAAAUGCAUAGAUAUCGCGCAGAACUCCGAUUGCGAAGGCAGCAUGCUGGCUCCACACUGACGCUGAGGCACGAAAGUGUGGGUAUCGAACAGGAUUAGAUACCCUUGUAGUC